Solea senegalensis (Senegalese sole) is the source of this 643-nucleotide long non-coding RNA. RefSeq lists it as uncharacterized. The transcript is spliced from 3 exons. The record is from RefSeq and is a predicted model, not a curated record. NCBI's taxonomy places the organism in Eukaryota, Metazoa, Chordata, Actinopteri, Pleuronectiformes, Soleidae.
AUCAGGUGUGUUGGACCAGGGUUGAGGAAAUGCUGCUUUAGUUCACCUCCUGUUGAGCAAUGGCUUCCUCCACUCCUCUUUCAAGCAGUCUUUCCCAGUCAAAAUGACUGUCCAGCAGGUGGAGCCAGUCAUUCAGGUGGUUGACGAGGGUGAAGGCGUCUGGGAUGUUGUCGCCCUCUGAGCAGAAGAGCAGCAGAACAGCCAGUGGAAGAUCCUCAGAGCAACUAAACACACAAAUAGUCCUUUAGUGAUUCCUCCUCCGGGGAUGCAGAGGCGUGGCUCUGCGUUGGUGUCCGUCAUUCCUGGGAAUGCUGGCACUUGCUCCAUUUCCCUCCAGCCCAAUGACUUCAGAGCGUCCUCGCUCACUUUCAGCAGGGACGGAGUGACCAGGUACCUCAGUGGCAUUCUACGAUACAAGUACACAUUAGACUUGAGAUCUGACCAGGUUAGGGAGAGAAAUGCAGAGAUGACGUGAAAUACAAUAUUGUUACCCUUUCAGCUGUUGGUCAUCCCUCUGGUAGGCGUGGCUGCUGGACAGAAUUACAGUCCUGGAGAACCCGCUGGACUUGAGCCAAGACACGAUCAGUUGACGAAACUUUUUGAACUUUGUCUGCAGUUUAAAUUAAAGUCAUUAAUAUAUAAU